This is a long non-coding RNA of Rhipicephalus microplus (southern cattle tick), 426 nucleotides long. RefSeq lists it as uncharacterized. The record is from RefSeq and is a predicted model, not a curated record. Lineage: Eukaryota; Metazoa; Arthropoda; Arachnida; Ixodida; Ixodidae.
AAUGCAGGGACGAGUCGAGGCGAGCUCAGUUCAGGUAUUCUUUGGUUCAGUUUUGUAAGCUGCUUACAGCGUGUUAAUCGUCGUUGACGUCGUCUCCUACACCGAGCUACGAGGAGAUAGAUUCGGGGCACGUCAGAUGCAUCACGCACCGGCGAGUCGAAGUCAAAAGGCGAUGCUUCCGCGCUCAAAUAGUAACUGCUGCAAUCGUCGCUGCCAACAAACUUCUCACUGAUGCUGUCCUUGUGGGCAGUGGGCUCUCCAGAAGGGAGAGCUAAGCAACUUGAAGGUAAACAAGAAAACAUUCUUGACAAGAGAACAAUGUAGAACAGCUGGUCAGCAAAACUCAAACUCAGUGCCUUGCAGUAAAUAAAAUUGAUGGUGAUGUCAGCUGACUUGUGAAAAAAAAAAAAAAAGUUUCCUCAUUUA